ACUUUAUGGUGUAUCUGCUCGACCUAAGGUGGUAAGCAGACUUCAGAAAUGUGUCAUAUAACCCGAGGAUUUGACAUUACAAUUGCGUAGUAGUGAAAACCUGCAGCAUAAGGUGACUAUGGAAUAGUUAGGAUUAUCGCAUACAUGGGAAAUGUUCUUGGGUCAGGAUCAUAUCGAUAAAUAGGUUUUCUUCUCAAAAAAAAUAUCGAUAAAUAGGUUCUUGAAGCUGUAUACUUGUUUUACUGAAGGAAUUUCCAUAUAAAAUGAUAACCGGGCGCAUAUUAUGUUAAAUAUUGAUUAUACAAAUGCACUUUCUCCUUAUCUUUUUGUAACAGAAGUUUGGAUCUGUUCUAGUUUAUAUUUUUUAUUUUUUAUUUUUUAUUUUUGAGAAGAAACAAUUUUAUUAAAGAAUAGAGAACAGCACAGAAGUGGAUAAGAAGUCCACUAACUGUAUAACAAGGAAAAACCCAUUAGGAUUUGGCUACAGCAGCCAUUUCUAGACCUAGCUCACUUAACUGCUGCUAACAAAUCCCAUAGUAUUUGAGAUAGAGAAACAUUAUUAAACUCUUUAGUGACUGAAGCCCAAAAAGCUGCCCAAUAUUUUACUCUCCCCCAAAGUUCUUCUGCCCCCACUCCAGUAUAGUCUUCAAAAAUCCUCUUGUUGCGUUCCAGCCAUAUAUUCUAGAAAAUUGCCGAUACCAGGCAACCCCACAAAACUUUUGGAUUUUUUCCUUUUUCCAAGUGCCUUAAAGUUUGUGCUUAGUAGCUCGAAACACCCUUUAGGAAUGACCCAACUUGCUUUAACCUCCUGUAACAAUUUCCACCACAGUUGGAUCGAGUAGGAGCAAUGAAGAAAGAUGUGAUUUACACUCUCCUCCUUGGCUUUGCACAGGCUACACCAAUGUGGUGAUAAGCACAUAAGAGGGUUUCUCCUUUGAAUUCUGUCGCAUGUGUUUAGAUUCCCAUUGGCCACAAGCCAUACAAGUAUUUUAACCUUCGGAGGAACUUUUGAUUUCCAAAUCUGAGGGUAGGGUGGAAAAUAGUGCACACUCCCAUUGUUGCUCAGUAAUGAACGAUAAGAUUUGCAUGAGAACAAACCUGAAGCUUCCAGAUUCCACCUUCUGAUAUCCAUCUUUAAUGGAGACAAUCGAACCUCUUCCAGUUUCUGUAAUAAUGUGGCCACCUCUACUAUCUCCAUCUCAUUCAAGUUUCUCCUAAAAUCAAAGUUCCAACUCAAAGGAUUUGAUGAAACUUCCACGAAGCUCGAGAUGUUUUGAUUAUGCUUCCUUUAUAGUAGGAAUAGUCUGGGGAAUUGCUCCUUCAGCGGUCCCCCUGUUAACCACCCAUCCUCCCAAAACCUCACCCUCUCUCCGUUGCCCACCUCAAACGUGCAGCAUCUAAGAAACUGAUGAGAACCACUCGAAAUGUCUUUCCAUGGGCUUCGACUUGAAACCCUCCUUUGAGGAAGUGCAUCCCAUCCAUUAGCUUGUAGCCCAUACUUACUUCUUAUCACCUUGUGCCACAGAGACUGUGACUCCCUUGGGAAUCUCCACAACCACUUAGCCAAUAAUGCUUCGUUAUGAUUCCUCAAGUUCCCCACCCCUAGACCUCCUUCCUCCUUGUUUUUAGUAACUAACUCCCACUUGGCCAAAUGUGUUUUCUUACCUUCCUCCAUGCCUUCCCAUAGAAACCCCUUCAUUAAUUUUUCUAGACGUCCUCUUACCCCGCAUGGAAUUUUGAACAAGGACAUAUAGUAAAUCGGCAUGCUUCCCAGGACUGAUUGAAUUAGAGUUAAUUUACCCCCUCUAGAUAGGAAAGCCUUCUUCCAACUUUGAAGUCUUCUUUCCAUUGUUUCUACCACUGGAUCCCAAAACUUUAUUGCUCUUUGCCUUCCUCCAAGGGGAAGCCCCAAAUACUUUAUCAGCCAGCACCCUACCUCGCACCCCCAAGAAACUGCCAACCUGUUUAGUUUCUCACUCUCUGAAUUUAUCCCAGCCAAAAAGCACUUAGCUUUGUUGAUUUUCAAUCCUGAGACCGAACAGAAUAAAUUAAGCACUUGGAUUAGGUUAUUCCAAACUUCCUCGUCUUCCGUCAAGAAGAAAAUGGUGUCGUCGGCAAAUUGAAGAUGAGAUAUCUCCACCUUUUCUUGGCCGAUACACAAGCCUUUGAUGAGAUCAGUUUCUUGUGCCUUCUCCAUUAACUUGCUCAAAACAUCGACUACUAAGGUGAAAAGAAAUGGUGACAGUGGAUCGCCUUGUCUCAAACCUCUUGAAGCUUGAAAUUUUCCCCUUGGCCUUCCAUUGAUCAAAACGGAGAAAUUUGCAGAGCUUAAACAUCCUUGCAUCCAUUUCCUCCAUCUAUUGCCAAAACCUUUUCUUUGAAGUACUUCUUCUAGAAAUCUCCAUUCAACAUGAUCAUACGCUUUUUCAAAGUCUAUCUUAAGCACCAAUCCCUUCUCUUUUUUCUGCCUCACCUCUUCUACCACUUCAUUUGCAAUGAGGACAGCAUCCAAAAUUUGUCUAUCCUUAACAAACGCCCCCUGAUUCGGAGAGACAGUGGUAUCCAAAACCUCCUUCAAUCUUGAAGCCAGUGUUUUUGCUAUAAUUUUAUACAAUCCAGUUACUAAGCUUAUGGGCCUAUAGUCCGUCACUUUCAAAGAAUCUGAUUUCUUCGGGAUCAGGCAAAUAAAAGUCUCGUUCGUCACUGCAUUUAUUAUCCCUUUCUCAAAGAACUCUUCCAUGAUCUUCAUUAUAUCCUUCUUCAAAAUCUCCCAGCAAUGUUGAAACAUUUGCAUAGAGAAGCCAUCUGGUCCUGGAGAUUUAUCCUUUCCACAAUCGAAAACUGCUCUUUGAACUUCUAUUUCCUCAAAAGGCCUCUCAAGCCAACUUGCCUGAAGGGCGCUUAUUGGAGCCCAAUUUAUCCCUUCCAAACCCCAACAUGCCUCGUCGUUACGCUGAAUAAGGAUUUGAAAAAAUUGACAAUAUGCUCUUCGAUCUCUUUUGCAUCCUCUAUUAUUCCCCCUCCAACCGACUCUAACCUCUCAAUAUAGUUUCUCUUCCUUCUCCCAUUUGCAACUCGAUAGAAGAAUUUUGUAUUACCAUCCCCUUCCUUUGCCCAUUCCACUUUGCUUCUCUGCCUCCAUUUCACUUCUUCUUUACAAGCCAAGUCUCCUACAAGGGUUUGGAGUUCUUCCCUUUUUCUUCUAGCUUCAAAAUCUAAGCCUUCCAACCCCUAUCUCCUGUCCAACUCCUCUAUGUUUGCUUCCACUUCUUUCAAGACUUUUUCGAUCUCGCCGAAGCUCUCCUUACUCCAGCGUUGCACCUUUUUUUUCAUGGCUUUUAACUUGAUCAUAAAUUUAUAACCCUCCCACCCCUCCACUUGCUCCGAUUGCCACCAUUCCUUGAAUUUAUUCCUGAAUUCUGGAUCUUGGAGCCACAUGUUUUCAAAUCUGAAAGGACAUGGCCCCCAUUUCACUUUGUUGGUGUCUAGCUGGACUGGGCAAUGAUCAGAAAUGACCCUAGCCAAGGCCGUUUGUCUAGCCUCAGGGAAGAUAUCUUCGCAACCUGUAGAGCAUAAGAAUCUGUCUAAUCUCCGACACACAGGUUCUUCUCUGAGGUUUGACCAAGUAAAUUGUGCAUUGAGCAGCUCCAAAUCCUUGAGUUCUGUCUCUCUAAUGAAAUCAUUAAAAUCCCUCAUGCUUUUAGUCAACCUCCCCCCGUUUGAUUUCUCAUUUAUAAAUCUAACCACGUUAAAAUCUCCUCCUACACACCAUCUUGGUCCACACAUACCAUAAAGUCCCGCCAAUUUUUCCCAAAACUCCCUUCGGUCUCUAUUUUUACAUGGACCAUAGACUCCAGAUAGCCACCACUCCAUCCCAUUGGGAGCCAUAAUUUUUAUUGAUGCAGAGAAAACACCGAUCAAAGAUUCGGUUACUGACAUGUGUUUUGUAUUCCAGAUUACAGCUAUGCCCCCUGAGCUUCCUUGUGCAGGGGCAUAAAUCCAGUCUUUAUAUCUGCUUCCCCACACACUAGCCACAAGGCUUCUGUCAAUCAUAGCUUUCUUAGUUUCUUGUAGUAUGAUGAUGUCGGGCUGUAACCGUUGGAAUUGCUUUUUCAAAGUUAGCCUCUUCCGUCUACUUCCCAAUCCUCUAACAUUCCAGCUAAUUAUCUUCAUUAAAACUGGUAUUGCCCCUGUGAAGUUUACUAUCUCCCUUAAAACCAUCCUCUUUCUUGCCUCUUCUGACUUUCCCUUUCUUCGCUUCUUUUAACAGAGACCUUUUCAACGGAAACAAGGAAAUCUUCAUUUUAGACAAAAAUUUGGAAUUUAGAUGUUGUGCCUCAUUGUUGGCUAAUUGGCCUGCCAGUUUUUUCCUUCUUCUGUACUUUAAUAUUUCCUUGUUUUUUCCUAUUGCCUUAGUAACAGACUUCUCAUGAUUAGAUGCCUCCUCCAACGUUGUCAAUGCUUCCAAAUUUGAAUCCUUGAAUAGGUUGUGGAGGUCAUCACAGGAUAAUUCAAAAUCUUCAGAUGUUUCUUUUUCCUCUUGAGAGUAAGCCUCCGCCUCCCCAUCAGCAACAGAAGAUUGGGCGGAGAAAUCUUCGUCGUCGCUGUCUAACAAUUGAGCCGAAUCCAUGCCUAGAGCCUCCAUCCUUCUCCGCCAUUGAUCUGCUGGAUUCUUCUCAGUCGACCCGCUCGGUGAUCGGGCACGGUCAUCAUCGGCCUCGCUCUCCAGAUCUUCCUCUAAUUCACUAUCUGAAUCAGUGAAUGUGAGGUUAGAAGGCCAGCCUUUCGUCAGAAUAGGCCCUUCUAGUUGAUUCUGACCAGAGCCAAAAUCUUGUGGUGAAAGAAUCUUUAGCCGCAAUCCGCCCCUGUCAGGUUGGCCAAAUCUCCCAAAGAAACUCGA
RNAcentral lists this long non-coding RNA (4900 nucleotides) under Malus domestica (apple). Its description in RNAcentral is "long non-coding RNA (MDOM_LNC004935)". The record is from RNAcentral. Lineage: Eukaryota; Viridiplantae; Streptophyta; Magnoliopsida; Rosales; Rosaceae.